RNAcentral lists this ribosomal RNA (599 nucleotides) under Penicillium simplicissimum. Its description in RNAcentral is "eukaryotic LSU rRNA". The stretch from base 225 to 378 matches the Rfam family "5.8S ribosomal RNA". Lineage: Eukaryota; Fungi; Ascomycota; Eurotiomycetes; Eurotiales; Aspergillaceae. The record is from RNAcentral.
AAAAGUCGUAACAAGGUUUCCGUAGGUGAACCUGCGGAAGGAUCAUUACCGAGUGAGGGCCCUCUGGGUCCAACCUCCCACCCGUGUUUAUCGUACCUUGUUGCUUCGGCGGGCCCGCCUCACGGCCGCCGGGGGGCAUCCGCCCCCGGGCCCGCGCCCGCCGAAGACACCAAUGAACUCUUGUCUGAAGAUUGCAGUCUGAGCAGAUUAGCUAAAUCAGUUAAAACUUUCAACAACGGAUCUCUUGGUUCCGGCAUCGAUGAAGAACGCAGCGAAAUGCGAUAAGUAAUGUGAAUUGCAGAAUUCAGUGAAUCAUCGAGUCUUUGAACGCACAUUGCGCCCCCUGGUAUUCCGGGGGGCAUGCCUGUCCGAGCGUCAUUGCUGCCCUCAAGCACGGCUUGUGUGUUGGGCUUCGCCCCCCGGCUCCCGGGGGGCGGGCCCGAAAGGGAGCGGCGGCACCGCGUCCGGUCCUCGAGCGUAUGGGGCUUUGUCACCCGCUCUGUAGGCCCGGCCGGCGCCCGCCGGCGACCCCAAAUCAAUCUAUCCAGGUUGACCUCGGAUCAGGUAGGGAUACCCGCUGAACUUAAGCAUAUCAAUAA